Long non-coding RNA from Antechinus flavipes (yellow-footed antechinus), 468 nucleotides. RefSeq lists it as uncharacterized. The record is from RefSeq and is a predicted model, not a curated record. The transcript is spliced from 5 exons. NCBI's taxonomy places the organism in Eukaryota, Metazoa, Chordata, Mammalia, Dasyuromorphia, Dasyuridae.
AGGAGGUGGUGUAUUAUUGGAUUUUAACAUAGUAUUUUUCAAUUAGAAAAUUGAUAUUGUGCUAAAGUUCCUGUGAAGACGUCAUUCUAGAAUGUUUGGAAUGGCAGGGAUUGAAAUCACAGUGACUUCCAUUAACAUCAAAUAUGAAAACAACGAAAUUUCGUAUUCUCAAAAAAAGAUUAGGAUUUUUUGGAGAGAAAACGAUGAAACAUACAUUUGUCAUGGCGGUUGGCGUGCAUUCCAACCAAAUUCAGAAAGAACAUCCUGGCCUGACAUACCAUGCAGCUGCAAAGAGUGAGCUUCCCUUCUUGCCCCAAACUUUCUUCAAAUUAGCUCUGCACUGAGGACCUAAAAAGGUUCUGAAAACAUUCCUGUUUUCCAGAAAAAAUAUAUCUCGUAACGAAUCUACAUACCUUCAAACACAUAACUAGAAGGGACUUUUGCUUAACAUGGUCUCUGCUGCCAAAA